This 853-nucleotide ribosomal RNA is filed under the name uncultured bacterium. RNAcentral describes it as "bacterial SSU rRNA". It matches the Rfam family "Bacterial small subunit ribosomal RNA", at positions 60 to 872 of the family's 1533-position model. The record is from RNAcentral.
AGUCGAGCGAGUCUGCCUUGAAGAUCGGAGUGCUUGCACUCUGUGAAACAAUAUACAGGCUAGCGGCGGACGGGUGAGUAACACGUGGGUAACCUGCCCAAGAGAUCGGGAUAACACCUGGAAACAGAUGCUAAUACCGGAUAACAACAGAUGAUGCCUAUCAACUGUUUAAAAGAUGGUUCUGCUAUCACUCUUGGAUGGACCUGCGGUGCAUUAGCUAGUUGGUAGGGUAACGGCCUACCAAGGCGAUGAUGCAUAGCCGAGUUGAGAGACUGAUCGGCCACAUUGGGACUGAGACACGGCCCAAACUCCUACGGGAGGCAGCAGUAGGGAAUCUUCCACAAUGGACGCAAGUCUGAUGGAGCAACGCCGCGUGAGUGAAGAAGGGUUUCGGCUCGUAAAGCUCUGUUGUCGGUGGAGAAGGACAGGGGUAGUAACUGACCUUUGUUUGACGGUAAUCAAUUAGAAAGUCACGGCUAACUACGUGCCAGCAGCCGCGGUAAUACGUAGGUGGCAAGCGUUGUCCGGAUUUAUUGGGCGUAAAGCGAGUGCAGGCGGCUCGAUAAGUCUGAUGUGAAAGCCUUCGGCUCAACCGGAGAAUUGCAUCAGAAACUGUCGAGCUUGAGUACAGAAGAGGAGAGUGGAACUCCAUGUGUAGCGGUGAAAUGCGUAGAUAUAUGGAAGAACACCGGCGGCGAAGGCGGCUCUCUGGUCUGUUACUGACGCUGAGGCUCGAAAGCAUGGGUAGCGAACAGGAUUAGAUACCCUGGUAGUCCAUGCCGUANACGAUGAGUGCUAAGUGUUGGGAGGUUUCCGCCUCUCAGUGCUGCAGCUAACGCAUUAAGCACUCCGC